AAGAGGAGGGUGUGAGUAUUACAUCAGGUACUGGUGUCUUUUUUUCAGCGACCAGUACUUGUGUUAUACUUGCGUUCGCUUCUU
Non-coding RNA from Nasonia vitripennis (jewel wasp), 84 nucleotides. RefSeq annotates it as microRNA mir-12. The transcript has a single exon. NCBI's taxonomy places the organism in Eukaryota, Metazoa, Arthropoda, Insecta, Hymenoptera, Pteromalidae. The record is from RefSeq and is marked provisional.